AUGACAUUCUCUUAUGUCGCUGCUGGAUGGGAGGGUUCUGCAUCGGAUCAAGCUGUUCUAAGAUGGGCUAUGACUAGUGGGGGUUUAGUUGUUCCUGAAGGUAAAUUUAACCUUGUUGAUUCAGGCUACGCAAAUACUCCAAGAUUUAUUGCCCCGUAUCGUGGAGAUCACUAUCAUAUUGCUUCUUUUCGUGGAAGUAAUCGGCGAUAUACUGGUGAGAAGGACUUGUUCAACCAUCUACAUGCACAGUUGCGGAAUGUUGUUGAACGAACUUUUGGUGUUCUAAAAGCUCGUUUUCCAAUUCUAAGUAGGAAAGGAGGAAUUCCUUAUCCAUACAGAACUCAAGUGAAAAUUGUUAUGGCUUGUUGCAUUAUCCACAACUUCAUAAGGAAGGUUAAUCAUCCUGAUGAGUUAUUCGAGCUUUAUGAGCAUGGGAAAACAGAACAAAAUACUGACCAUGGUGAUCAACAAGUUCAUGGGCAAGCAAGAAAAGAUGAUAGAGUUGCUGGUGAGAGAGUUCGUGCUGCCAUCGCCCAAGAGUUGUGGACUAAACAUCAACAACGUAGUGCUCAACCAGAAGAUGAUUAA
RNAcentral lists this ribosomal RNA (588 nucleotides) under Triticum aestivum (bread wheat). RNAcentral's name for it is "partial small subunit ribosomal RNA". Lineage: Eukaryota; Viridiplantae; Streptophyta; Magnoliopsida; Poales; Poaceae. The record is from RNAcentral.